This 468-nucleotide ribosomal RNA is filed under the name uncultured bacterium. RNAcentral's name for it is "partial 16S ribosomal RNA". It matches the Rfam family "Bacterial small subunit ribosomal RNA", at positions 28 to 507 of the family's 1533-position model. The record is from RNAcentral.
GACGAACGCUGGCGGCGUGCUUAACACAUGCAAGUCGAACGGAAAGGCCCUGCUUUUGUGGGGUGCUCGAGUGGCGAACGGGUGAGUAACACGUGAGUAACCUGCCCUUGACUUUGGGAUAACUUCAGGAAACUGGGGCUAAUACCGGAUAGGAGCUCCUGCUGCAUGGUGGGGGUUGGAAAGUUUCGGCGGUUGGGGAUGGACUCGCGGCUUAUCAGCUUGUUGGUGGGGUAGUGGCUUACCAAGGCUUUGACGGGUAGCCGGCCUGAGAGGGUGACCGGCCACAUUGGUACUGAAAUACGGCCCAAACUGCUACGGGAGGCAGCAGUGGGGAAUAUUGCACAAUGGGCGGAAGCCUGAUGCAGCAACGCCGCGUGCGGGAUGACGGCCUUCGGGUUGUAAACCGCUUUCGCCUGUGACGAAGCGUGAGUGACGGUAAUGGGUAAAGAAGCACCGGCUAACUACGUG